GAUGAACGCUGGCGGCGUGCUUAACACAUGCAAGUCGAACGGGAAAUAUUUCAUUGAGACUUCGGUGGAUUUGAUCUAUUUCUAGUGGCGGACGGGUGAGUAACGCGUGGGUAACCUGCCUUAUACAGGGGGAUAACAGUCAGAAAUGGCUGCUAAUACCGCAUAAGCGCACAGAGCUGCAUGGCUCAGUGUGAAAAACUCCGGUGGUAUAAGAUGGACCCGCGUUGGAUUAGCUAGUUGGUGGGGUAACGGCCCACCAAGGCGACGAUCCAUAGCCGGCCUGAGAGGGUGAACGGCCACAUUGGGACUGAGACACGGCCCAGACUCCUACGGGAGGCAGCAGUGGGGAAUAUUGCACAAUGGGGGAAACCCUGAUGCAGCGACGCCGCGUGAAGGAAGAAGUAUCUCGGUAUGUAAACUUCUAUCAGCAGGG
RNAcentral lists this ribosomal RNA (433 nucleotides) under uncultured bacterium. Its description in RNAcentral is "bacterial SSU rRNA". It matches the Rfam family "Bacterial small subunit ribosomal RNA", at positions 28 to 444 of the family's 1533-position model. The record is from RNAcentral.